This is a long non-coding RNA of Siniperca chuatsi (mandarin fish), 1156 nucleotides long. RefSeq lists it as uncharacterized. The transcript is spliced from 3 exons. The record is from RefSeq and is a predicted model, not a curated record. NCBI's taxonomy places the organism in Eukaryota, Metazoa, Chordata, Actinopteri, Centrarchiformes, Sinipercidae.
ACCACCCUGAGGGGGUUUUUAAUAAUUAUGUUACCACACAGCUUAUAUGGGUACGGUAGUAAUAAAAAAAAAAUGUUUUGACUUGACAAAGGUCAGAUUGGGAUCUGUUUAAAUAAAUUAGUGUUUCUUUUUCAUUGAUGACCUAAAAGUUUGACUCUCAAACAUCAAUUUCUGGAGUUUCAAGCAAGUUUCCAGUCUCUGCAAGUUGAUUUUCAAAGAGACCAGAAAUAAAAUGAAACUAAUGGCUGCGUGAAAUGAACAAAAUCAGCUUUAUGGUAUGUUUUGGAAAAUGGCCGUAUUGCAUAAAUUGUAGCUGAUACACUAAAACUUGUGUUGUUGUUGUUUGAUGCCGGUAACAUGAAUGUGUUGUAGUUUGUGACUUUAACUCAAACAGCCACCUUAACUCAAAAAAAUGUCUCCUCAUAUAUAAAUAAAUCCCCACUAAGCUGCACCAAACCUUUGUCUGAGUCUGCUGGUGACAGAGCUCAGUGUAGUGGAAGAUCCCAAGGCCAAGAGAGAGCAGGAAAAGCAUGUUGACUAUCAAUAAUUAAAAGCUGGAAGGGGUGGAGGGGGGUAUUUCGAACCCUGACGUCAUGAACGAGAGCCGCCGGCAAGAAAAAACACCCCGAGGUUACAGGGAGGAGAAGGGGAGGGGACAUCUAUCUGUUGGCACAACGGAGGACGACGAGGACAAAAACAGCCGAUAAAAACAUCACAACAGUCGCUCUUCAGUCCUCUGACUCAUUUUACUAAGGCAGACAGGAAACGUAAAGGAAGCUCCAUACAUCAGACUGAGUUCAACAUAGUGCAGUGGCAGAGGUGACGGCACGAGAGCAUCUCCCGAAUGACAACAGAGAGGACUAUCUGCAAACUACAGUGUGUUUGUGGGUUUUGGGCUUAAAGAGUGGAGUAAAUGUUCAUCAGUUUUACUGGACGUCCUGAACGCAGCAUCAACACACAGAACAAAGUCUUGACCUCCACAGAAAUAUAUUUGGCAUUUGCUGCUUCAUGAGGUGCGAGAAAGUCUGAUACAGAAAGGAACAGCACACACAAUCUGAAAUUCAAAGAAAAGUUUUGGGAAGUUCAUUUUAAAUCUACACAAAGUCUGAGACCUUGGGAGGAACAGAUGAAUGAAACCGUUUUUUGACUUAAUAUU